Molecule: ribosomal RNA, 397 nt
Filed under: Cercozoa sp.
Lineage: Eukaryota; Cercozoa
Description: partial small subunit ribosomal RNA
Rfam family: Eukaryotic small subunit ribosomal RNA
Source: RNAcentral
AUUCCAGCUCCAGUAGCGUAUAUUAAAGUUGUUGCAGUUAAAAAGCUCGUAGUUGGAUUUCUGGUAUGAUGCGCUUGGCCCGCCGCGGUUACGCGUGUGAGUGCCGAUGUGCGUCUGCCAUCUUCUCAGGAACCGAUGCUACCCUUCACUGGGUCGGCGUCGUGCUCUGAGACUUUUACUUUGAGAAAAUUAGAGUGUUUAAAGCAGGCUAUUGCUAUGGAUACAUUAGCAUGGAAUAAUAAUCUAGGACUUCGGUUCUAUUUUGUUGGUUUCUAGAUCUGAAGUAAUGAUUGAUAGGGAGCGUUGGGGGUGCUAGUAUAUUUUGGCCAGAGGUGAAAUUCUUGGAUUCAAAAAAGACUAACUUAUGCGAAAGCAUUCACCAAGGAGCUCUUCAUCA